RNAcentral lists this ribosomal RNA (473 nucleotides) under uncultured bacterium. Its description in RNAcentral is "bacterial SSU rRNA". It matches the Rfam family "Bacterial small subunit ribosomal RNA", at positions 8 to 478 of the family's 1533-position model. The record is from RNAcentral.
AGAGUUUGAUCCUGGCUCAGGAUGAACGCUAGCGACAGGCCUAACACAUGCAAGUCGAGGGGUAGCAGUGUAGCAAUACAGCUGACGACCGGCGCACGGGUGAGUAACGCGUAUGCAACCUACCUAUUACAGGGGGAUAACCCGGAGAAAUUCGGAUUAAUACCGCAUAACACUAUUGUAUGGCAUCAUAUAAUAGUUAAAGAUUUAUUGGUAAUAGAUGGGCAUGCGUUCCAUUAGUUAGUUGGUGAGGUAACGGCUCACCAAGACGUCGAUGGAUAGGGGUUCUGAGAGGAAGGUCCCCCACACUGGUACUGAGACACGGACCAGACUCCUACGGGAGGCAGCAGUGAGGAAUAUUGGUCAAUGGGCGAGAGCCUGAACCAGCCAAGUCGCGUGCAGGAUGACUGCCUUAUGGGUUGUAAACUGCUUUUAUACAGGAAUAACAACAGGGACGUGACCUUGGAUGAAUGUAC